Molecule: ribosomal RNA, 340 nt
Filed under: uncultured Bacteroidota bacterium
Lineage: Bacteria; Pseudomonadati; Bacteroidota
Description: bacterial SSU rRNA
Rfam family: Bacterial small subunit ribosomal RNA
Source: RNAcentral
AUGCAAUCUACCUUUUACAGGGGGAUAGCCCAGAGAAAUUUGGAUUAAUACCCCAUAGUAUAACGAUGUGGCAUCACAAUGUUAUUAAAGUUCCAACGGUAAAAGAUGAGCAUGCGUCCCAUUAGCUAGAUGGUAAGGUAACGGCUUACCAUGGCUACCAUGGGUAGGGGUCCUGAGAGGGAGAUCCCCCACCCUGGUACUGAGACACGGACCAGACUCCUACCGGAGGCAGCAGUGAGGAAUAUUGGACAAUGGGCGCAAGCCUGAUCCAGCCAUGCCGCGUGCAGGAAGAAGCAUCUAUGGUGUGUAAACUGCUUUUGUACGGGAAGAAACACUCCUA